UACGUAGGGUGCGAGCGUUGUCCGGAAUUAUUGGGCGUAAAGGGCUCGUAGGCGGUUUGUCGCGUCGGGAGUGAAAUCCACUGGCUUAACUGGUGGCUUGCUUUCGAUACGGGCAGACUGGAGGUAUGCAGGGGUGAACGGAAUUCCUGGUGUAGCGGUGAAAUGCGCAGAUAUCAGGAGGAACACCGGUGGCGAAGGCGGUUCUCUGGGCAUGUCCUGACGCUGAGGAGCGAAAGUGUGGGGAGCGAAUAGG
This 253-nucleotide ribosomal RNA is filed under the name uncultured bacterium. RNAcentral's name for it is "partial 16S ribosomal RNA". It matches the Rfam family "Bacterial small subunit ribosomal RNA", at positions 524 to 776 of the family's 1533-position model. The record is from RNAcentral.